This 303-nucleotide ribosomal RNA is filed under the name uncultured bacterium. Its description in RNAcentral is "partial 16S ribosomal RNA". It matches the Rfam family "Bacterial small subunit ribosomal RNA", at positions 507 to 809 of the family's 1533-position model. The record is from RNAcentral.
AGCAGUAGCCGCGGUAAGACAGAGUAUGCAAGCGUUGUUCGGAUUUAUUGGGCGUAAAGGGUGCCUAGGCGGUUUGGCAAGUCUUGUGUGAAAUCUAUGGGCUCAACCCAUAGCCUGCACGAGAAACUACCGGGCUUGAGUGAUGGAGAGGUGAGUGGAAUUUCCGGUGUAGCGGUGAAAUGUGUAGAUAUCGGAAGGAACACCUGUGGCGAAAGCGGCUCACUGGACAUUAACUGACGCUGAUGCACGAAAGCUAGGGGAGCAAACAGGAUUAGAUACCCCCGUAGUCCCUGUCUCUUAUAA